CCUGAGGGCGCCGACAGCGGGGCGCGGGUCCAGGCCUGGGCUCCGGGCGGGCGGCGGACGGCGGGCAGCGGCCGGGCCCGAGGUCGGGGCCGGGGCGAGCACGAGGCGGCGCGGCCCUCCUUUCCUCUCUCGCCCUUUAUUCUUUCUUUUGCUUUUUUGUUUGCUUCCUGCGAGGCGGCUGCAGCCGCGUGCGCGCAGCGCCCCAAGCGGGCGGCGCCGUUUCCGGUGCUCGGUCCGCUCGGCCGCGCCUCGGCCCGCAGCCCGCAGCCCUCAGAGCGCCCGCCCGCCCUCGGGUCCGCGCUCCGACCUCUCCAGCCCCAGCUGCGUGGCCCGCACGUGUCCUCCUGCGACAGCGCCCCGCCCGACAGCGCUCCGCCCGCCUGCCGCUUCCUGCUGCGCCCCUUCUGCCUCGCCCCGUUGCAGUCUGUGCCUUUGCCGUUGUUGGUCACAUCUGCCUGUUCCCCCCCCUCCCCACAGCCGGGUCGGCGGUGUCCCCAUCAGCACUCAGGGCGGCGCUCGAGCAACAGUGCCGCGGGCUUGGUCAGCAUGGAACUCGGGACCUUGCGCUUUCGAGGCAGGCGGCAGAACCAGUGAGCUAAAUCUCCGGCCCCCCUUGUCUAAUAUUUUUAGGCAACACGGCAGACAUAAGUCUACAGUCCCCCCCACCCCUCUGUUAAGUACGAGAUGAGGUCUGAGGAGACCCUUCUGGAAGGCACCAUCCUCAUCCCCGACUCCCCAAGCACGGCUACUGUUACUGUCUUGCUGUGUAGUUCAGGCUGGUCUUGAACUCCUGGCAAUCCGUGCCCAACUCCACCAUUUUUUU
RNAcentral lists this long non-coding RNA (823 nucleotides) under Heterocephalus glaber (naked mole-rat). RNAcentral describes it as "lncRNA (ENSHGLG00000032552.1)". The record is from RNAcentral. Lineage: Eukaryota; Metazoa; Chordata; Mammalia; Rodentia; Bathyergidae.